UCGCAUGAUGCGGUAAUUUGCGAUUGACCCAGUGUCUGUGAACUCUCGCCGGAGUUCUUAAACAGCGCUGUAGCGUGAUAUUCAUUUCUUACAUAUUCUGAUG
RNAcentral lists this small nucleolar RNA (103 nucleotides) under Aspergillus wentii DTO 134E9. RNAcentral describes it as "A. fumigatus snoRNA Afu_514". It matches the Rfam family "A. fumigatus snoRNA Afu_514". Lineage: Eukaryota; Fungi; Ascomycota; Eurotiomycetes; Eurotiales; Aspergillaceae. The record is from Rfam by way of RNAcentral.